GACGAACGCUGGCGGCGUGCUUAACACAUGCAAGUCGAACGGAAAGGCCCUGCUUUUGUGGGGUGCUCGAGUGGCGAACGGGUGAGUAACACGUGAGUAACCUGCCCUUGACUUUGUGAUAACUUCAGGAAACUGGGGCUAAUACCGGAUAGGAGCUCCUGCUGCAUGGUGGGGGUUGGAAAGUUUCGGCGGUUGGGGGUGGACUCGCGGCUUAUCAGCUUGUUGGUGGGGUAGUGGCUUACCAAGGCUUUGACGGGUAGCCGGCCUGAGAGGGUGACCGGCCACAUUGGGACUGAGAUACGGCCCAGACUCCUACGGGAGGCAGCAGUGGGGAAUAUUGCACAAUGGGCGGAAGCCUGAUGCAGCAACGCCGCGUGCGGGAUGACGGCCUUCGGGUUGUAAACCGCUUUCGCCUGUGACGAAGCGUGAGUGACGGUAAUGGGUAAAGAAGCACCGGCUAACUACGUG
This 468-nucleotide ribosomal RNA is filed under the name uncultured bacterium. RNAcentral's name for it is "partial 16S ribosomal RNA". It matches the Rfam family "Bacterial small subunit ribosomal RNA", at positions 28 to 507 of the family's 1533-position model. The record is from RNAcentral.